Molecule: long non-coding RNA, 2555 nt
Organism: Homo sapiens (human)
Lineage: Eukaryota; Metazoa; Chordata; Mammalia; Primates; Hominidae
Source: Ensembl
UUGUUCUCACUUAAUACAUGAGAAAAUGCAAUAUUUGGCUGUUUUUGCGUUAAUUCACGUAGGAUAAUGACCUUCAGCUGCAUCUGUGUUGCUGCAAAGGACAUGAUUUUGUUCUUUUUUAUGACUGCCUAGUACUUUGUGGUGUAUAUGCACCACAUUUUCUUUAUUUAAUGAACCGUUGGUGGAUACUUACCUUGGUUCCAUGACCUUGCUGUUAAGUUGAACUAAUUGACACCUACCACCGCUUGCUGGAGGUUGAGGACGCCCAGUGAGUGUGCACCCGGGCUGGAGAAGGGAGGAGGUAUGGCCCGGAAAAGAGACACAGAAAGGUAAUCCAAGAGGGCUUUCUGGAGGAGGUGGCAGCUGAGCCUAGAGGUGAAUUUCAUUGGGGAAGAGGGAGUGAGGCCUAGGCAGCUUAGGCCAUGACCCCCAUGGUGGGAGACGGCUGCAUAAGGGUCUCUCUCCUGGCAUCCAUCUUUACCCAUGCCUGGGCAUCCUACCCCCAUCACCCUUUAACCCCCGAGGGCCUUGGCUGGGUCCCAGAAAUUCCCAGGAGGGUGCUCAGAGAAGACCACGGGGACUCUCAUCACCCCCACCCUGGCUCACUUCCAAAAAGGCUGCAAGAAGGGUGUUGGAGGGUCUCCUGGAGGCUGCCAAGGGCAUUUUCUCAUGGAGCCCACGUCUCUCCCCGAUCGUGGUGGCUGUGAUCGGUAAUUCCAGCUUCAUACUGGCUACAGGUGGAUGAUGCCCACCUGGCUGCUGAUGACUUCUGCACCAAGUGAGGCUGGGUCUCUGGAGCUGCCCCAGGGGCUGGACAAGCUGACCCUGCCUGGAGCCAACCUGGAGAUGCAGCCUGAGAACCUCAAGGAGGACCUGGUCUACCUGAAGAAGAACCAUGAGGAGGAAAUGAACGCCCUUUGAGGUCAGGUGGACGAGGAUGUCAGUGUGAAGAUGGACACUGUGCCUGGAGUGAACCUGAGCUGCAUCCUGAAUGAGAUGCGUGACCAGGACAAGAAACUGGUGGAGAAGAGCUGCAAGGAUGCCCAGGGCUGGUUCUUCAGCGUGGUGGGUGGCCGUGUGUAAGCAGGUGUGCACACGUGUGGGCACAUACGCCGUGUGCUGGUGCAGUUGGAACACCGGCAGAUUCACAGGCUGUCCCAGUUGGAAGGACUUUUGGAAACCAGUCGGACCAGCCCUUCAUGUCUUCGAUGUAAAAUGUGAGGCUCAGAGAGGACUCAAGCUCACACAGCCCUUCACUGUGGCCUGCAAAAUAGAUCCAGUUCUCUGCAAGUCUGGUCUUGGGUUUCCACCACAGCUGUUUACAGGAUGUGUGUAUUUGAGUACAUACACAUACCCUUGGCAAGCACAGGCUGAGUGUGUCCGGUGUCCUAGGGACAGCAACAGGUGCAAAAGAAUAACACCCAGUGCCUGUCUUUGAGGUGCUGUAGUUCGGUAGGAGUAAGAAAUGCAAACGACCGCAGAGUAGGCUGAAUUCCUCCAAGGUCCAACGUGGGUGCAGAGGGUCUUUGUGUGCAGGUGCCUUUGGGGCCCCAUAGAGGCCAGGGAGGGUUUAGGGGAUGGUUCUGGGAGGCGAGGGCUCAGGAACAGCCCCUUUCCUGUGCCCCACUUGUGAAAGUCUCCAUAAACCCCUGUGGCCCACUCUGCCUUCCAGAGAGAGAGGCUGAACUGCGAGGUGGCCACCAACACAGAGGCCCUGCAGAGCGGCAGGAUGGAGAUAUGGAGCUCUACAUCUCUGUGCAGAACCUGAGCCGUCCCAGCUCAGCAAGAAAGCAUCGCUGGAGGGCAGCCUGGUGGAGACGGAGGUGUGUUACAGGACCCAGCUGGCCCAGCUGCAGGGGCUCAUCAGAAGCAUGGAACAGCAGCUGUGCGAGCUCUGCUGUGAUGCAGAGCACCAGGACCACGAGCACCAGGUCCUUCUGGACGUGAAGACGCGGCUGGAGCAGGAGAUCGCCACCUACAGCCGCUUGCUAGAGGUUGAGGACGCCCGGUGAGUGUGCACCCAGGAGGUGAAACUGACGAUGCAGGCUGGAGUCUGACUGAGGAGCCUUGACUGCCAAGUUAAAGCGUCUGGACUAGAUCACGGGAACCUCCUCUGCCAGGGCCUGCUUCUCCCCAGCAGUGCUUACAGGGGCCUGGGCUGGCUGGCAUCCCUGGGUCGAUGGGUGCUCCUCUCCCUGCAGGCUGGCCACUCAGUACUCCUUGUCCCUGGCCUCGCAGCCCACCCGGGAAGCCACGGUGACCAGCCACCAGGUGUGCCAUCGUGGAGGAAGUCCAGGUUGGAGAGGUGGUCUUCUGUAAGCAGGUCCAUCUCUCCACCCACUGAGGCCCCUUUCUGCCUGUGACAGCCCCACCUCGAGGGUCACGGCACAGCCAUCAGCUCCAGCUCCCAGCAUGCUACUGCCACGCCCCGAGUGUCCGUCUGGGCACUGGUCCAUGACCUGUUGUCUUUCUGUAUCUACUUUCUGCAGCCCCUCACUGAGGAGGCCUCCUGGGUUUGUCCAGUGCCUGCUAUUAAAGCUUUGCUCCAAGUUCAA